CAGAGGGUGCGAGCGUUGUCCGGAAUCACUGGGCGUAAAGGGCGCGUAGGUGGCGGGGUAAGCGUGUGGUGAAAGUUCGGGGCUCAACUCCGAAUCGGCCAUGCGAACUGCUUCGCUCGAGCACUGUAGAGGCAGAUGGAAUUCCGGGUGUAGCGGUGGAAUGCGUAGAGAUCCGGAAGAACACCGGUGGCGAAGGCGGUCUGCUGGGCAGUGGCUGACACUGAGGCGCGACAGCGUGGGGAGCAAACAGGAUUAGAUACCCUGGUAGUCCACGCCGUAAACGAUGGGCACUAGAUGCUUGGGGGAGCGACCCUCUGAGUGUCGGCGCUAACGCAUUAAGUGCCCCGCCUGGGGAGUACGGCCGCAAGGCUG
This 372-nucleotide ribosomal RNA is filed under the name uncultured organism. RNAcentral describes it as "bacterial SSU rRNA". It matches the Rfam family "Bacterial small subunit ribosomal RNA", at positions 526 to 896 of the family's 1533-position model. The record is from RNAcentral.